GAGUGCUAGGUGUUGGAGGGUUUCCGCCCUUCAGUGCCGGAGCUAACGCAUUAAGCACUCCGCCUGGGGAGUACGACCGCAAGGUUGAAACUCAAAGGAAUUGACGGGGGCCCGCACAAGCGGUGGAGCAUGUGGUUUAAUUCGAAGCUACGCGAAGAACCUUACCAGGUCUUGACAUCUUGCGCUAACCUUAGAGAUAAGGCGUUCCCUUCAGGGACGCAAUGACAGGUGGUGCAUGGUCGUCGUCAGCUCGUGUCGUGAGAUGUUGGGUUAAGUCCCGCAACGAGCGCAACCCUUGUUACUAGUUGCCAGCAUUGAGUUGGGCACUCUAGUGAGACUGCCGGUGACAAACCGGAGGAAGGUGGGGACGACGUCAGAUCAUCAUGCCCCUUAUGACCUGGGCUACACACGUGCUACAAUGGACGGUACAACGAGUCGCAAACUCGCGAGAGUAAGCUAAUCUCUUAAAGCCGUUCUCAGUUCGGACUGUAGGCUGCAACUCGCCUACACGAAGUCGGAAUCGCUAGUAAUCGCGGAUCAGCAUGCCGCGGUGAAUACGUUCCCGGGCCUUGUACACACCGCCCGUCACACCAUGGGAGUUGUAACGCCCAAAGUCGGUGGCCUAACCUUU
Molecule: ribosomal RNA, 631 nt
Filed under: Limosilactobacillus reuteri
Lineage: Bacteria; Bacillati; Bacillota; Bacilli; Lactobacillales; Lactobacillaceae
Description: bacterial SSU rRNA
Rfam family: Bacterial small subunit ribosomal RNA
Source: RNAcentral